AGUGAACGCUGGCGGUAGGCCUAACACAUGCAAGUCGAACGGCAGCACAGUAAGAGCUUGCUCUUACGGGUGGCGAGUGGCGGACGGGUGAGGAAUACAUCGGAAUCUACUUUUUCGUGGGGGAUAACGUAGGGAAACUUACGCUAAUACCGCAUACGACCUACGGGUGAAAGCAGGGGAUCUUCGGACCUUGCUCGAUUGAAUGAGCCGAUGUCGGAUUAGCUAGUUGGCGGGGUAAAGGCCCACCAAGGCGACGAUCCGUAGCUGGUCUGAGAGGAUGAUCAGCCACACUGGAACUGAGACACUGUCCAGACUCCUACGGGAGGCAGCAGUGGGGAAUAUUGGACAAUGGGCGCAAGCCUGAUCCAGCCAUACCGCGUGGGUGAAGAAGGCCUUCGGGUUGUAAAGCCCUUUUGUUGGGAAAGAAAAGCAGCAGGUUAAUACCCCGCUGUUCUGACGGUACCCAAAGAAUAAGCACCGGCUAACUUCGUG
Molecule: ribosomal RNA, 492 nt
Filed under: uncultured bacterium
Lineage: Bacteria
Description: partial 16S ribosomal RNA
Rfam family: Bacterial small subunit ribosomal RNA
Source: RNAcentral